GGGAAACGACGUGCAGGUAGGCGGGGAACGAGGGAUGGGGCUGGCGUUAUCCGGAAUGACUGGGCGUAAAGGGUGCGUAGGUUGGUUCUUAAGUAGGAGGUGAAAGGCUACGGCUCAACCGUAGUAAGCCUGUGAAACUGGGAAACGUGAGUGCAGGAGAGGAGAGUGGAAUUCCUAGUGUAGCGGUGAAAUGCGUAGAUAUUAGGAGGAACACCAGUUGCGAAGGCGGCUCUCUGGACUGUAACUGACACUGAGGCACGAAAGCGUGGGGAGCAAACAGGAUUAGAUACCCCAGUAGUC
This 300-nucleotide ribosomal RNA is filed under the name uncultured Lactobacillus sp. RNAcentral's name for it is "partial 16S ribosomal RNA". It matches the Rfam family "Bacterial small subunit ribosomal RNA", at positions 495 to 795 of the family's 1533-position model. The record is from RNAcentral. Lineage: Bacteria; Bacillati; Bacillota; Bacilli; Lactobacillales; Lactobacillaceae.